UCUCCGUUGGUGAACCAGCGGAGGGAUCAUUACCGAGUUAUCCAACUCCCAACCCCUGUGAAUUAUACCUUUAAUUGUUGCUUCGGCGGGACUUCGCGCCCGCCGGGGACCCAAACCUUCUGAAUUUUUUAAUAAGUAUCUUCUGAGUGGUUAAAAAAAAAAAUGAAUCAAAACUUUCAACAACGGAUCUCUUGGUUCUGGCAUCGAUGAAGAACGCAGCGAAAUGCGAUAAGUAAUGUGAAUUGCAGAAUUCAGUGAAUCAUCGAAUCUUUGAACGCACAUUGCGCCCGUCAGUAUUCUGGCGGGCAUGCCUGUUCGAGCGUCAUUACGCCCCUCAAGUCCCCUGCGGACUUGGUGUUGGGGAUCGGCGAGGCUGGUUUUCCAGCACAGCCGUCCCUUAAAUUAAUUGGCGGUCUCGCCGUGGCCCUCCUCUGCGCAGUAGUAAAGCACUCGCAACAGGAGCCCGGCGCGGUCCACUGCCGUAAAACCCCCCAACUUUUUAUAGUUGACCUCGAAUCAGGUAGGACUACCCGCUGAACUUAA
Molecule: ribosomal RNA, 543 nt
Filed under: Metarhizium anisopliae
Lineage: Eukaryota; Fungi; Ascomycota; Sordariomycetes; Hypocreales; Clavicipitaceae
Description: eukaryotic LSU rRNA
Rfam family: 5.8S ribosomal RNA (bases 172-325)
Source: RNAcentral